GUGGGGAAUCUUAGACAAUGGGCGCAAGCCUGAUCUAGCCAUGCCGCGUGAGCGAUGAAGGCCUUAGGGUUGUAAAGCUCUUUCGUGGGGGAAGAUAAUGACUGUACCCCAAGAAGAAGCCCCGGCUAACUCCGUGCCAGCAGCCGCGGUAAUACGGAGGGGGCUAGCGUUGUUCGGAAUUACUGGGCGUAAAGCGCACGUAGGCGGACCAGAAAGUCAGAGGUGAAAGCCCGGGGCUCAACCCCGGAACUGCCUUUGAAACUCCUGGUCUUGAGGUCGAGAGAGGUGGGUGGAAUUCCGAGUGUAGAGGUGAAAUUCGUAGAUAUUCGGAGGAACACCAGUGGCGAAGGCGGCCCACUGGCUCGAUACUGACGCUGAGGUGCGAAAGCGUGGGGAGCAAACAGGAUUAGAUACCCGAGUAGUCC
RNAcentral lists this ribosomal RNA (425 nucleotides) under uncultured bacterium. Its description in RNAcentral is "partial 16S ribosomal RNA". It matches the Rfam family "Bacterial small subunit ribosomal RNA", at positions 354 to 796 of the family's 1533-position model. The record is from RNAcentral.